AAAAAAAACAAACACCCCUCUUUUGCUCUGCUAGGGUUUCACCCCUAGCGUCCUCGCACCGCCGUUUCCCAUGCCAAAACCUCCCUCAAACGCCGAUUGCAACGGAGCGAUGAGGGAUCGAAGGCGCCAAUAUAAGGUAAACUUGCCCUUUUAUUUCUUUUCCUUGAAUAAACAGUAGAUAUUAACAAAAAAUCAAUUGUAGAAAUAAAAACAAGAGAAAACGCUACAGUGGUAAAUCACCUUCUGCUUUGGUUUCUAUUUUCCCUUGUAUUUUCUCUCUUAUUAGUGUCUAUCCCCCUUUUUACAGAUUUUGAUAGGCCUUUUAUAGGCCGAAAGAAAGAAAAUAAAUUAAAUACAAAUUGUUUUCUUUGAUUUUUUUUCUUUCAGGACUCUUUGAAUCUGUUUUUUUUUGCAGGCGUCGUGCGCGUGAAUGACGUGCGUGGGGAGGGCGAUCUCCGAAUUGUGCGGCGUCUGGACUCUUGCUGGAGGCGUCGAGGCUGAUGGGGCUUGCGGCGCUGAGGCAAGGAGGCUGCUAGGGUUUCAACAAAUUAAUUUUUGCUGGACUAGGGUUUGCAAAUCGGUUAUUGGGCUUGUAUUGGGCCACUUAUUUGUUGGGUUUGACAUAUUUUUGUUUAAUUUGGACCCAGGCCGGUUGGGCCUUAUUACACAUGGAAU
Molecule: long non-coding RNA, 675 nt
Filed under: Gossypium barbadense (sea-island cotton)
Lineage: Eukaryota; Viridiplantae; Streptophyta; Magnoliopsida; Malvales; Malvaceae
Description: long non-coding RNA (GBAR_LNC023281)
Source: RNAcentral